UAUUAGAGUUGUAAUCCUAUUAGGGUAAUGAAUUAACCUUCCCUACUACUAUAAAUAAAGGCACAAUGUGGUGAAAUUGAACACACCUCACAGUUACACUCUCUCUUCUCUCUCUAUGCAACACCCCUCUCUAUUUCUUGUCUCCAUAAUUGUUCAGUAAAUUAUGAUUACAACAUAUUGAUCGAUUUUCAAUUAUAAGGACCAUGAGUGGGUUAAUUUUAGAGACCAAUUGUGAAAAAAAAACCCUUUUAGUUAUAGCCAAGAUUUCUCCUGAUGGACGUGUGUUUUAAAUUUGUCAGAGACUAUCGAUUAUAGAAAAUAAUUACAAUUGUUUAAAAAAAAAAAAAAUCAAUUCUCGGCUAAUUGCAAGCUGGUCAUAAAUACAGGGACAAUUUACGACGACCAAAAUUAGUUCUCUUAAAAGAAAGGUUUGCGCCAAUAAACUAGGAGGCUAUUUUCACGUGCAAUUUUUAGUUCCUCACACUUUUAUAUUUGUUUUUAACUAUUAAAUUGAAUAAAUUAAAUAAAAACAGUGCAUAUGACUAAAAAGAGUAAAUUGCCAAAAUGAUCCUUGAGAUUUGCAUAACUCAUCACUUUGGUCCUUGAGAUUCCAAAUCGAUAAAAGUGGUCCCUGAGAUUGUCCACCUUCCAUCAUUUUGAUCAUUCCGUUAAAAACGCCAUUAAGUGUCCUGGAGCUCUUUGCCAUAAGUUUGGGCAAUUUUCAAAGCUUCGUAACUCAAUCGUUUCUUAACCAAAUUUGACCCAUAAUAUAUCAAAAUGAAUAUAGGAAAGUGUAGAAUACUAUUAUACCUAUUUCGAAGCCAAUGGUUGCCGGAGAUUGCCGGAAAAUAGCCUCAAAGUUGAUUGGUUUGAGUGAAAACUUGAAAACUCGCCGGAAACUGGGUAAACUUUAAACGUUCAUAACUUCUUCAAUACUCAACAAAAUUAAGUAAUUCAAA
RNAcentral lists this long non-coding RNA (959 nucleotides) under Malus domestica (apple). RNAcentral describes it as "long non-coding RNA (MDOM_LNC015562)". The record is from RNAcentral. Lineage: Eukaryota; Viridiplantae; Streptophyta; Magnoliopsida; Rosales; Rosaceae.